This 253-nucleotide ribosomal RNA is filed under the name uncultured bacterium. Its description in RNAcentral is "partial 16S ribosomal RNA". It matches the Rfam family "Bacterial small subunit ribosomal RNA", at positions 524 to 776 of the family's 1533-position model. The record is from RNAcentral.
UACAGAGGUCUCAAGCGUUGUUCGGAUUCAUUGGGCGUAAAGGGUGCGUAGGUGGCGCCGUAAGUCAGGUGUGAAAUUUCGGAGCUUAACUCCGAAACUGCAUUUGAUACUGCGGUGCUUGAGGACUGGAGAGGAGACUGGAAUUUACGGUGUAGCAGUGAAAUGCGUAGAUAUCGUAAGGAAGGCCAGUGGCGAAGGCGAGUCUCUGGACAGUUACUGACGCUGAGGCACGAAGGCCAGGGGAGCAAACGGG